CUACGGGUGGCUGCAGCGGGGAAUAUUGCACAAUGGAGGAAACUCUGAUGCAGCAACGCCGCGUGGAGGAUGACACUUUUCGGAGCGUAAACUCCUUUUAUAUAGGAAGAAGAUGACGGUACUAUAUGAAUAAGCGCCGGCUAACUCCGUGCCAGCAGCCGCGGUAAUACGGAGGGCGCAAGCGUUACUCGGAAUCACUGGGCGUAAAGAGCGUGUAGGCGGAUUAAAAAGUCAGAAGUGAAAUCCUAUAGCUUAACUAUAGAACUGCUUCUGAAACUCUUAAUCUAGAAUAUGGGAGAGGUAGAUGGAAUUUCUGGUGUAGGGGUAAAAUCCGUAGAGAUCAGAAGGAAUACCGAUUGCGAAGGCGAUCUACUAGAACAUUAUUGACGCUGAGACGCGAAAGCGUGGGGAGCAAACAGGAUUAGAUACCCUUGUAGUC
RNAcentral lists this ribosomal RNA (439 nucleotides) under uncultured bacterium. RNAcentral's name for it is "partial 16S ribosomal RNA". It matches the Rfam family "Bacterial small subunit ribosomal RNA", at positions 339 to 795 of the family's 1533-position model. The record is from RNAcentral.